Molecule: ribosomal RNA, 1701 nt
Filed under: metagenome
Description: bacterial LSU rRNA
Rfam family: Bacterial large subunit ribosomal RNA
Source: RNAcentral
GGAGAAAUUCCAAUCGAACCCGGAGAUAGCUGGUUCUCCUCGAAAUAGCUUUAGGGCUAGCCUCAUGAGAGUCUUAUGGAGGUAGAGCACUGAAUUGCCUAGGGGGCGUCAAAGCUUACCAAAGCAUAUCAAACUCCGAAUGCCAUCAAGAUGAUUCAUGGGAGUCAGACCAUACGAGAUAAGUUGGAUGGUCAAAAGGGAAAGAGCCCAGACCUACAGCUAAGGUCCCAAAGUACGUGUUAAGUGGAAAAGGAUGUGGGGAUUCUAAGACAACUAGGACGUUGGCUUAGAAGCAGCCAUUCAUUGAAAGAGUGCGUAAUAGCUCACUAGUCGAGAGUCCCUGCGCCGAAAAUGUCCGGGGCUGAAACACGACACCGAAGCUUAGGAAUGUGUAAACAUUGGUAGAGGAGCAUUGCUGGCGGGAUGAAGCCAUACCGUAAGGAGUGGUGGACUGCUAGGAAGAGAGAAUGCCGGAAUGAGUAGCGAGAUGAAGGUGAGAAUCCUUCAGGCCGAAUAUCUAAGGUUUCCAGAGUAAAGCUGAUCUGCUCUGGGUAAGUCGGGACCUAAGGCGAGGUCGAAAGACGUAGUCGAUGGAUAACAGGUUGAAAUUCCUGUACCGCAUAUAAACAGAACUGUGGGGACACAGACAGGGAAUGGAAUCCGGGAGUGGAAAUCCCGGUGCAAGCGAGGUAGGAGUGCUGUUGGCAAAUCCGCAGCACGAUCUGAAGACGUGACGCGUACCGAACAUAAGUAGGGAAGUCCAGGCCCCUGGCUGUCAAGAAAAGCCGCUAUCGUUUUAUAUGUGCCCGUACCGCAAACCGACACAGGUGGAUGAGGAGAGAAUCCUAAGGCCGACGGGAGAAGUAUUGUUAAGGAACUCGGCAAAAUGACUCCGUAACUUCGGGAGAAGGAGUGCCAUGAGAGUGGCCGCAGAGAAAUGGCCCAAGCAACUGUUUAGCAAAAACACAGGUCUAUGCAAAACCGCAAGGUGAAGUAUAUGGGCUGACGCCUGCCCGGUGCUGGAAGGUUAAGGGGAGAGGUUAGCGCAAGCGAAGCUUUGAACUUAAGCCCCAGUAAACGGCGGCCGUAACUAUAACGGUCCUAAGGUAGCGAAAUUCCUUGUCGGGUAAGUUCCGACCCGCACGAAAGGCGUAAUGAUUUGGGCACUGUCUCGACAAUGCACCCGGUGAAAUUGAAAUACCAGUGAAGAUGCUGGUUACCUGCGCCAGGACGGAAAGACCCCAUGGAGCUUUACUCCAGUUUGAUACUGGGAUUCGGCAUGGUAUGUACAGGAUAGGUGGGAGACUGAGAAGGUAUGACGUCAGUUGUACCGGAGUCGCUGUUGGGAUACCACCCUUACCAUGUUGGAUUUCUAACCUGUGGCCGUAAGCCGGUCAGGGGACAAUGUCAGGCGGGGAGUUUGACUGGGGCGGUCGCCUCCGAAAGGGUAUCGGAGGCGCUCAAAGGUUCCCUCAGAAUGGUUGGAAACCAUUCGAAGAGUGCAAAGGCAGAAGGGAGCUUGACUGCGACACCGACGGGUGGAGCAGGUACGAAAGUAGGACUUAGUGAUCCGGUGGUAUAAAGUGGGAUUGCCAUCGCUCAACGGAUAAAAGCUACCCUGGGGAUAACAGGCUUAUCACUCCCAAGAGUUCACAUCGACGGAGUGGUUUGGCACCUCGAUGUCGGCUCAUCGCAUCCUGG